UGGGGAAUAUUGCACAAUGGGGGGAAACCCUGAUGCAGCGACGCCGCGUGAGUGAAGAAGUAUUUCGGUAUGUAAAGCUCUAUCAGCAGGGAAGAAAAUGACGGUACCUGACUAAGAAGCCCCGGCUAACUACGUGCC
This 138-nucleotide ribosomal RNA is filed under the name uncultured bacterium. RNAcentral describes it as "partial 16S ribosomal RNA". It matches the Rfam family "Bacterial small subunit ribosomal RNA", at positions 355 to 509 of the family's 1533-position model. The record is from RNAcentral.